UCGGAAACCCUCGUCUCGAGAAUCGGAUAAUACAUUACGCGUCAAUACACCAGCCAAUCCGCUUCCCUCGUCUCGCCAUUUAUUUUCGAACUAAAAAAAAUAAAAAUAAAAUCCCGCCUCUUCAGCUUCCCGUGCCCCUUCAUCCGCAUUUGGGGGCGUUCAGAUCUCUUAUUACUCCACGGAUUUCUUUCCUCUCUCACUCUCUGGAUAUUUGGAAUAAGCGUAUCUAUGAUUUUUGGCUUUCCAUCUAAUUGCAAUGAAAGGUGUAACAGAGAUGAGGUUUCCACCAUCUUCGUGUUCAUUGCUCUCAUGGAUGUUACCAGGUCAGGAGUUGAAGGAUCCCUGAUGUGAUAAUAUGCAUUGGGGGAUAUGGAGAGCAACGUAUGAGGUUCAUGUACCAAUCAGUAGGAAUCAUUCAACCUCAUCGCUGAGAUAUUUCUCUGUGCAAGUGUGGAUGUAUAUUCAAUCAUAUGUGAUUUAAAAAAAAGUUGGGGAAGCAUGUGGAGAAAAGCAUGCCAAGUUGAUAACAGAUCUGUGGCUUCAAUCGGUCGGAUAAGAUAUGAUGCAAUUAUUGGGUUUGAACAGGAGUUGGGAGAAUGAGACGACAAAUUUUUUUUAACUAUUUGAUUGAGUUUAUAUGGUUUCACUAUGGUCUGAUUCAGUGGCUCCUACCCUCCAAGGUUCUGAAAAGCCAUCUCAUGCCCACCACCCUAGGUUUCCAGGCUGGUAUUAAUUUUAGAGGAUUUGUUUUGGGUGGUUUUGAUUCAGUUUGGUAGGUCCCAACCAUGAUUGAGUGGGAUGCAGAUUCCAAUAUCUUCAUGCUUUUCCAGUGUGUUCUUUUUUCCUCAAAAGUGCAAAGCUUUAAGACUUUCCGGGGCAUUUUCCCUGCAAUUACAAUCCAAUGUAGCAAAGAAGAUUUUUCUCCA
Long non-coding RNA from Magnolia sinica, 926 nucleotides. RefSeq lists it as uncharacterized. The transcript has 2 exons. NCBI's taxonomy places the organism in Eukaryota, Viridiplantae, Streptophyta, Magnoliopsida, Magnoliales, Magnoliaceae. The record is from RefSeq and is a predicted model, not a curated record.